Molecule: long non-coding RNA, 1751 nt
Organism: Pogona vitticeps (central bearded dragon)
Lineage: Eukaryota; Metazoa; Chordata; Lepidosauria; Squamata; Agamidae
Source: Ensembl
UGGAAGCUGAGAUGAUUAAUCAGUGCCUUGAUAUGGGGGAACAAAUGUCCAACCUGCAUGUGUGGAACCGUCGUGGGAGAACAGUACCAGCCUUGUGUAUUCCUCUGUGCAAUAAUCAAGAGGCAUCAUCAAACAACCCGUUGGGAAGUCCUAACACUUGCUACUCAUUAAGGAAACCAGAGGCUCAGAUCCUCCUCCAGAUAGAGAACAUUUUGCUACCACCUGACACAGAGUUUCAUGAGCAAGCACGGAAUGGGAAGGUGAAUAAAUAGCCUUUACCAAUCCUUCACUCCAGUAAUUCUCCUUCCCACUUGUAUUCUGCAGGCAUCAGCGACCAGGAGAAUCAUAAAAUCAUAGAGUCAUUGAGUUGGAACAGGCCUAUAAGGCUAUCGAGUCCAACCCCUUGAGAAAACAAAAGAUGAACAGGAUUCUGUUCUUUGGGUGUUCAGCCUUCCUCUGCUGUGCUUUCGCUCUUAGAUGUCGUUAUUGCAUGGUGACCAAAUGUUCAGCCGAGACACAUGGGACGUGCCUAGCUCUGCCUGGGCAACAUUGCUUCACUGAGAGAGUCUACAAACAAGAUGUACGGGAUUUUAUCUCGAAAGGAUGCACUUUGCCGGGAGAUAAAUGCAAUACCACCAGAGAAGAUCGUGGCUGGGGCACGGUGACAAGAGAGUGUUGCAAUAUCCGCAACUUUUGCAAUAAAUGAAUUUGCCUUCCUGGCUUCACCUUGCCAAUUGGACCGGUGGAAAGCCGUUGCAGCAGAUCAACCAAUAUUAGAAGAUAUUUUCACUUCCCUCUGUAAUAUUUGCGAGAGCCUUCCUAGCAGAUGGUCAUGUAUGGAAGUGUGCAAAUACCACACACUAUGAUUUGGCCCCAAUUAUUUGUCUAAUCACAACCAAUUCGUAGCUCAUCUGAUUUGAUUUGUGUCUGAAUCUUUAAAAGCAUUUGUACGUAUUUGUAUGUAUUUAUAUGGAUGGGAUUUUAAAAAUUAUUUUUGGACUACAAAUCCCAUGAUUCUCAAUCCUAGGAGUUCUACCUGAUAGACAGACACCUUAUAAUCACUUAUAUGAGCUUCAAAAUAGCUGGAGGUCUUUGAGGUUGAGUUAGGCUGACAUCAGCCUUGUUUCUUGUUCCUUGCUAAUGAGUAAUAGUAAAUCAUAUGCAUAUAAAGCUAAUUUAAAUACUUGCAAUUGAACCAUAUACCAUCCUGCUCUGACUAAUACCACGUGACAAUGGUUCCAAACAAAUAACAAUGGAGACAAGCAACAUUCUUGUCUUGUACCUUUCUCCAAAUGAAAAAGAUAAGAAAAGAAUCCAUUGACCCUUACUUGUGAUUUAUGACAGGGACAUAAAAUUUUAAUCCUUUUUACCUUGGGAGAUGGUGAGCUGGAAUUUCCUCUUGAAUGCUGGAAGCAUUCAAGAGAAAAUUGGAUAACCAUCUGUUAGAUCCGCUUUGAUCUGGAUUUGUGCCUUGAGAAGAGGGUUGGACUUGAUCGCCUUAAAGGCCCCUUCCAGCUCAAUUUUUCUAUGAUUUUAUGAUUACCAUGGAAAUUUAGUAAUAGCUUAUGUUUGACAAAUGUUUAAGCAUUUGGCCAAAUACAGUACACAGUUGUAUCCAAUACCUGUGCAAAGCCUUUGAAGAAGUAAACCCAUGUAGUUCCAUCCAUCUGUCCUUGGGUCAAGAUGUAGCAUCCAUUUGGAAUGUUUUUCCAGAUGCUUCUUUUCCAAUAAAAUAUUAUUUUGAAAAAACA